This is a long non-coding RNA of Dromaius novaehollandiae (emu), 13813 nucleotides long. RefSeq lists it as uncharacterized. The transcript has 4 exons. NCBI's taxonomy places the organism in Eukaryota, Metazoa, Chordata, Aves, Casuariiformes, Dromaiidae. The record is from RefSeq and is a predicted model, not a curated record.
CCAUGGUAUCUUUCUUUCCAUUAAUAUUUUACAGUAUACUGCUUGUCCAGAAAGGUGAUAUAAAUGCAGUUUUCAUCUUCCAGCUAAAAGCAGAAGACAUAAUUACCAAUUGUAUCUGCCUGUUAUUCUGUUACUAAUGAGACCACAGGUUUCCAUUUCCUACUGGUUAUUUGCAAGUCAAGCUAAUCAAGGUGGUCCUCAGGAAAAAAAUCUUCUUGCUACCACUUAACUCACCCUACUUCUCUGAAAGUGCUUGUUUUGACUGUUUAACUAGCAUUUAGGAAGUCUUUCUCUGUUUCCAGGUUUUGUUUUCUCGGAUUUCAUUUUCGUAAGCUUUAUAGGAUGAGUGAAUACCUAUAACACUCCCAUAUAGAGUCUUCUUUCUUCCACGUUUCCAGCAUCUGAUGUUUCUACUUAGGAUGUUUUCUCUGUAGACAGUGAAUGGUCUUGCAAUGUAUAAGACCAGGAAUUGCCAAGGCAGCAGCUGACCCAAAGAAUGUUUCUUGCAUGUAUGACUUAAGGAGAGCUGAGCAGUUGGAGAAGUUGACCCCUGAUUGCGCUUUUGUGCUCAUGAAGCCAUAGCUACUGGAUGGGAUUAGGAGGACAUGCAUGUCUCUCCAGCCUACUAUUUGUACUUAUGUUAGGACAUACGAUCACAAAAAUCUGAUCCCAAAACUAACUAAACAGAAAUUGUCAUGUAGUUGCUGUCUCGUAUUUAAUGGCCUGCUGUACACGUAAUGUCUGGUACUUUUGGUAAGGAAUCUUGAGUGGUGAUUUCAGUGCUUAGAGACGGGGGUGACAGACACACAAAGGAACAGCGAACCUUGCAAUUGACAAAGCAGCAAUAUAAUGAGCAGUAUGUAAGUAAGGGAUAAUUACAAAGCAUCUGGAGUCCAUUCUAUACUGGAAACUAAUAAAAAAUGUGGUUAAUAAACACCAAGUUCCCUUUGAGAGAAGGAAAUACCAAGAUGCUUACUGAAAGUGAAAAGUGGUGGACUGACAAGAAGAGAAUAUGUAGGGGCCACCAUGAUAACCUCUUUGAGACCUGAAUCUCUGCCAUGGGAUACCUAACAUAUCAUAAAGAGGUGUGAAUGCAAAUAUCCAUUGAAAUGAGGGAGGAUAUGAAUUUGAGCACAGUGAAAUAAUCUGGAUCAGCUUCUAAAAUUUUUCAGGGUUUUUUGCAGCCAGUGAAGUGAGUGCAUGGAGGCAGACUUCAGUGUAGUCAAGGUUUCUCAGAUAAAGAAAAUGUGCUAUUCUUUUCAAACAGCGGAGAAGGUCAGCUAAGACUUGAUCACAUAACCUAGCCCUUUGGUCAUGAAAGGGUUUUUCCUGCUAGAAUGGAAAAUAAAGGAAGACUUUGUAAUAGGAAAUUACCUUCAACAGCAUCUGGCACAUCUCUGGGACACAGUGACUUCUUUAAGGUGCUGAGAACAAGCUUUGGUUUCAUUGAUAUUUAGAAACCAAAACUGAGUAAAUACUCAAGUAACAAAUUCUAGCCAUGGACACUAUUACAAUGUAUAACCUCACUGGAUCUGAAAUGAAGACAACCAAUGGUUCUGGGCUGCAAAUGUAAGAUCCCUGUCUGAAACUUUUUCUCAUUGUUGGUACCAGUUAAUCUCACUUGCCAUUCACCUUACCUUUAAAAACAAGAAAAAGUUUACUCAUGAAAUUUGUUUUUAUUUUUGACAGGUAAAUUCUGCAACCUUAGCUUUAUUGUUUGGCAUUAAAAUGCUAAACUACAUCAGCAGAGUAGAAAGAUUGCUUUAAUGCACUGACUUUGCAGGAGAAAAAUAAAAAGGAUCGUGGGUCAGAACAGAGGUGGGCAUUUUAUCCUACCUGUACAGAUCUAUAAUCUGCAGAAACUGUGGAUGGUUCACUCAGCUCCUGCAGGAUUUAAAGGGACUGCAUGACGCAGCCAUAUAUAACUACUGACUUUUGUAUUAUGGUAUGCUAGUGUAGAUGUGCUGGCUAGCAUGAAAGAUGCCAUGACAAGCCAUUAUUGAUACUGUGGUAGCUGUCAAAUUCUGUAUGUGAAAGGAAAAACAUAGUCCACGCUAGCCUAAAUGAAGCGUGUAUAAACGGCAUGCUCUAUCCUCAGAACAUCUUUAGGUGUCCAGAAUUAUUAAUACUUAUUUUUUAAAAAAUUCAACGUUUUAGAUUCUCUCAUAAUUUGUUCUAAGCAUCUCAGUUCCAGAAAGGAGUAAAUUUUCACAAAUAUUUACAAGAUAUUACUAAAUAGGUUCAGAACAGGGCAACAAUUGCUUAAAAUGGUGGACAAAUUAAGGAAUAUAUAUUUGGACAUUUGAGUGGAUCCAUGCUAAUUAUUAUUUGCUGAGUGUUUGUCUGUGCCCCAAGUAAAGUAAAUCUUGUUUCCCCUUUUUUAAAAAGUUGUGCCUCAACAAAGGAAAAAAAAUACAUUGUCAGCCUUUGCUUGAAAAAGAAGUAGGAAGCUCUAUGGAUAAAGGAACAUAAGCAUAUGUAAGAGAAGGAGGAAAUGAGAGUUUAGAAGCAAAGAGCUGACAGCAGAGAUUUAUCCAAACCCUUUGUGUGACCUCCAGAGAGAUCUCCGCGAACAACAUGCAAUGUCUCACUGCUGUGUGGCCUGCAAACUCCAGGAAUAUUUAAUUGCAGCAAUGUGAUUUCAGAGGAAAGGUUAUGGAAGGGGCUUUCAAGGGAAAGUUUACUAUAUUCCCCUCUCACUAACAACUUUAUCUUGCAGGCUAAAGAUGGAACGUGCGUAUAACAAAGACACAAGGCACAUUGUCUGCAAGCUCUGUUCUGUCACUUAAUCAAUUUGUUAUGAUGAAAUGCCAAUGAGUCAAGAUGAAAAACUUCGUCACUGGGGACUGAAGUACUUGCUUUAGAGAGUUUGGGGUCAGCAAGUCACCAGAUCACCUGCUGUCGCCUGCUCUUGUAUGGACUCCAAUCCUGUGCACUUUGCUGAAGCAUAUCUUCUGGCAGAACAACAGGUUAUGAUUCAGAAGGCAUCAAGAGAUGCCUGCAACCCACUAAAACAAUCAAGACCACCCAGAAGCCUUCCUGAGCUUGCAUCUUCUAAAAGAUCAUCUGGAGGUAAAACCUCCGUGAAUACAUUUCUCAUUCUCCCCUGUGGAAGUCUACAAGAUUCGCUUUAUGUUUCCAGUCUGGAAGUUUGUGCCUCAUGAUCACCUGCCUCUACAGUUUCCAGUCCACCGUGUUACAUGUGUAAGCAAGGCAUGGGGCCAUGACCAGAACAUUAUUGAGCUUUUUACUUGUAACAGACAAGCAAUGCAAUGGCUACUGACUGCAUUAACUUGCCAAACUUACCAACGUUUAGCAUAUAUAAAGGUUGUUAGCUGCUGAAAUGGCCUAAUUUUUUUUUUUUGGGGGGGGGGUUGGGCGAGGGAAGCAGUUAUGAGUCACGUGAGAGGUCAGAUAGAAUUGUGAAAUAUGGGCUGAACGUUCCACAAAAAAAAGGCCGAGAUCAUUCACUUACUGUAACUCACUUGGCCAUUUGUCUUGACCAUUUUGUUACUGUUACACCAAAAAGGUGGCUUUUUACUCUUCUCUGUAACUAUCUUUUGCAAAAGGAUGGUGAAGCUUUAGGCAGUUAGCCUGACUACAUAGCCAUUGCCGUUACUGGAGGAGGUUGAAAAUUAAACAACUGUCAUAUCCAGACCUAUCACAAAAAUCAGACUGAUUAUAAUAUGGGUUUGCACUAGGCAGAUGGUAGCAAUGUUCUUAAUUGCAAGUUUUGAGGACUUUCUGUACCUCAGACUUAGCAUAUUCUGUCUAUAUAAGCAAAGAAACACCAACACAGGAAAGUAUUACCCUGCUGUAUUUUAUCAUGGAGGGAAUACAUUUGAUUUAAAAAAAAAAAAAAAAAAAAAAAAAAAAAAAAGACCCUAUAAAACUUUUGGCAGAGAUUUAAAUCUCUUUUUUUUUGUUGUUGUUUCAUUUUACUCUUUCUUUAGUGCCUGAUAUUAAAGGACCCAAAUUUGUUCCUGGGGGAAUUUAAUCACUUAUUCCAACAGGAACAAGAUGGUACCCUUAUUAUUUCUGACUUGGAUAACGUUCUGCCUCUGGGGAAGUUUUUUUUGUUGCUGAGUUAUUCUUUAAUGUGUUUAUUACCCUUAGAGUUUAAGACCUAAGCCUAUAAUCUCCAAAGUAAAGCAGCAGUUGUGACCCUAAGCAAAGGAGGUGCUGCAAUACUUCUAUUCAGUGUUACGAAAGCUGCUGAGUGCUGUGCUGUGCAGAGCGCUGCUGGUCUCCUACAGAGAGGGAUGCUGAGAAGAUGCAGUUCUGGAUGUUCCUGGGAGUUGUACAGAAUAACCAGGAGCAACAGGGAGCUGGACCAGAUUCGUGGUAUGGCUCUUCACACAUGCACACAUUGCUCCAAGCAGACAUAUUAUACAUAUGAACAUCUAGACUUACUAUGGGUGCUAAAACGCUAAAAGCAUUUAUCAACCUUGAUUCUUCUAUGAAACUUGCUACUUUGGCAUUUGAGCACUGCAUAAACUUAGUGUCCCCAGAGGAUGAUGUGUUUUCCUUUCAGUUAACUUUUGCCUAAGUUAGAGGUUUUCAGGCUGUAGGGGAAGAUGCUGAAGAGCUAGCCUGGCUUCCUGCAUAGUGCAAAACUGUAAACUUAUUUCAGCUACUUUGCUGAAGUAAAGGUCACAACUGGAAAGAAAGCUUCAAAGGACAAGAGCAGGAUAUGGGAGAUGAGUCAGUUUUAAAAGGAGUUACUAUGCAGCCUGCAGCUCCUAGUUCUGUGCUUCACAGCUGAGGCUGCACUGAAAUGUAGGUUGCUGGGCCAAAUACAAGGGAAGCAACUGGUGUGACAUGUUAGAGAAACCUGACAAACAAACUGAGCAUCAGAGAGAAACUCUAGACAGGGCAGGGUGGAGAGCGGGAAGUGAAACCCCCGUAGCCAGCGUUACUGUUCUCCUGCUGCUACUGGACUAAUGGGCAUCUGUCCUGCACGUAUGAAAACGUCGUAUAGUGUUUGGUGUCAGGGACAUCAAACCUCCUGCAUAUAAGGGGACAAACAUUUGAAAAACAGCUGGUGGGUCCUAGUGAAGCUUCUAGGAGAAGACAUGUAGCUGAGUUAAGUCAAGCUGCAUUAAGAUUUUUAUUUACAGCAAGCUAAAAUAUGAGGGUUUUGCUUGGAUUUGUAUUGAUCACAUUCGGGUUCCAAUUUUGACAUAAUUUGUAUCUACAGGAUAAUUGCAUUUUUCUGCUCUCUCUUUUCCAGGAAUAGAUUUAGCUACUUCAUCGGAGCAAACAAUGUUUCCUUUUGAAAUCUUAUGUAUUUUAAAUUAUAUCUAGAGAAUCCUGAAUUGAUUUCCUGUAUUUAACAUAGUUUUAAUAUUACUGAUCUACGGUAUCAGUGAAAGACUCUUCUGUUCUUAAACGGAAGUGGUCAAUCAACCUUAGGCAUUGAUUUUCAAAAUGAAUAUUUAAUUGACUUCCUAAUUCUACAUUUAAGCAAUAGACCCACAAAGUGUGUAUUUCUUUAUUAAGGAAUGGACUUUAGCAGUGAAUUAACUUGUCCACUAGAUGGUAAUGUUGUUUCAGAUGAUUUGUGUUGAAUUACUGCUUCUCUGCCAACAAGCGAUAAAGGAAGUUGAAGUCAUGAGAUUUAUCCAGGAAAUGAUCUUAGGAAUUCUGGAUGAUUUGGGGAAGAAAAAGUUUCAGUUUAUUAGAAAAUCAUUUUUGCUUUGAAAAAGUUUUGCUAAAAACUUGUGCUGUAAUCACUAGGAUCAUGGAUGUUUUAGUUCAUGAGAUAGCUUCAGCAAAAACAAUUAAUUUACUGAGAAUGCAGAAGACAAGCAGAAUGAUCUCUGCCUUACGCUCUUAUCCAUUGCUCAUCAUUGCAGCUAGCUGAAUGACUCAAAAUCCUUUAUUAGUUACUAGGCAUAAUUUUGCUGGGAAGUAGGGAAUUACUCUUAUCCCCUUUUAUUAAUGGGCAAUGGAGACAUUUCUGCAGUGGUACUUAGCAGCCAUGUCUCACUGAGUUCAAGGGAGUUAGCUCCUACCUAAUCAGAUGUGAAGCGCACAAAUAUCUUUGUGGGUCCUCUGAGUAGAUGGAGUAGGUCACACAGAAAAUUAAAACUGGGAAUCAUCUUAUUCCUGGGCUAGAAUUCUAAUCACGAAUUACUCACAUGAAGUAUACGUAAGGAAGAAUGAUAACAAAAUAUCUAGGCAUUCCUCUUUAUAGUAAUUUAAUUGGCCUAUUAUCCUAGGUACAAUUUCAGUCAAAUAAGCCUUACUAGCCCCAUCAGUGCAAUCCUUGGGGUAGAAUAGCAGUUGUUUCCUCUGUGCUCCUCAUCAUUCAUCUCCUGGGUCUCAGUAUGGCCAGGCUGCCACAUUCAGAGACUGGGAACCCCACGGUACCUGCAAUGCCAGGAGCCCGGGGCAGGCCCUCCAGCCGAGCACACCCACACCCGCAGGGCUCUGCUGGAGCUCUGCAAGGAACUGCUUUGCUGGGUGGCAAUACUGAGGAUUAUCACUGUCAUGAGGCUUCCAGUAAUGUUAGUCCACUGCAGCAAAAAUCAGAUCAGGGAACAAAUUUCUUUACUAUUCACAGUGAAUGUCGGCUGCAGAGUUGGGACCAAAGGAUAUCCUCUGCCACAGAAACAUGAUUUACCUUUAUUUGCAUUCAUCAAAACACAAACACCAUGAAAUGAAAAGGGUAUGAUGCUCUAUAAGGAAAAAUAUAGUUCCUCUAUGUGCUACAAACAAACAGCUGCAGGAUUAUUUCUAAGCAGUAUCUCAGGCCGGUGGAACUCUGGAAAAUGUUUCAAUGCAUCUUUAAAUAGCACGUAGCAUUAAAGCUAAAUAUGAUUUCCACCUUGGACCUUGACUUAAGGUUUUCAGCUUCUAGACCAGGUUUUAGCAUGAAAUUCAGUGGACUCUUUUACAUUAAACUGUACGUUAAUAUAUUGACAGUUCUAAACUGCUGUAUUAAAAACAGUAACCUAAAAUUACAUUAAUUUGUUCCUUAGAGGUAAUCCACAAAUGUUACAGAUUAAAAGCAGAAUUAUACUAUUUGCAAAUGAUAAUGUGCUCUCUGCUAGCAGUGGCUGAGAGGACAUCAUCACUGAAUUUAUAUCAAGUAAGAUAGAAAAACACUUGACUGUUCUCAAAACUACAGGUUACACUGCUUUCAAAACUGGAUACUCUGGUCAUAUGAGACUCAAUUAUAUAUCCUGUAAAGUUCAUCUAUGCUACUUUUAUUUUUAGUAAUUCAGUAUUUGAAAAAUACCUUUCACCUUUUGUUUUGGACAAUGGAUUAAGAAAAAUAGCACCAGGAAAAAUUCAAUACAGGUUUGUUUUAGAGUAAUGGUGCCUGAUUUUGAUAGUUUUCCAGUGUGAUUCUGUAAUUUGCUGUUAAAGGAUUAUUCAAGCCUUGGCUAUAGGUGUGGUUAUGGCUAUAAAUAUGGUCAUGUCAUUUAUAAGGAAGGACAUGAUUUGAAUUUAGAGCGGGAACUGUAAUUCUUCUGCUUAAAGUUUGGAUUAUCUUCCCUAUUCUGUACUUCUUGUGUACUUCAGCCUGAUGCAAACAUGGAUAACUGCCAUUUUUUUUCUUUAAAUCAAAGAAACAGAGGUUUAGCUCGCUUUCAGGAGAAGUACUGGUGUCAUACUUACAGAAGUGUUUGCAGGCCCUUCUAAGGGCCAUGUGCCUGUUGUCAAGUGCUGUACCUCUGGCUUAUCUAGAGAGGUAAGGUUUAUAAUGAGAGGUAAUAAUUUUAAUCAGAGCUAACACAUUUGAUGACCUUAACACAUGUGAUGACCUUUCAGGCUCAGAUUCUAUUCGUCUGCCUGGAUGGGAAGCUGCAAAAUCAGAACCGAAUAAAGUUUAGACAUAAUUGCUCUUAUCAACUGCAUAACACAUCAAUUACCGUGAAUCCUGUUGUUGACCUACACACUGAAGACACCUUUUUUGUGGCUGUAUCUAUGUCUGUCCUAAGUUGAUUAGCAAGCAUGCUCACCAAAAGGAUCUUAAUUAAAAGAAAAACGUAUUAAUUCUAAAGAUAGUAACCUGGGCUGUGCUUUCUUAAUCAAAAUUGCUACUGGUUCUACUGGGGUAUUGCUUCAGAAAAGAGUACGCACAGGACUGAAGGUUAAAGAACUACUCUACUUGAGAAGAAGGAUGUGUUCAUCCUGGCUUUUCAGGCUUCUUUUACUACACUAAAACUCGGAGACUGCAACAUGUACUCUGAUUUUAACAUGGUGCUGUGUCACAAACAGCUGCUCUUAUAAUUAGCAAGAGAAUUUAUGAUUGAUAUUAUAUUAUUAUGAUCUUUAAGACCAUUGUCUGGAUCUAGCUAUGUGGAGAGUUAAGGUCUUUGUGUCACAGAUCAGCUGAACACAGAAAGAGGCACAUGUUUCUCAUGCUCUCUGUAGAGAGAACUUUUAGAAAAAUCUCUGGGCAAACAAUCUUCUAAAAACAAAACAAAUUUCUGCUCGUCACUGGUGACACUCCCUGAACUUGAAUAACCUAGUAAUCUGUGAAGCAUGCUGAAUUUCACAUAAUGCGAAAGUCUGUCAGCCCGUCUGUAGGCCGAACAACAUAAUGUGCUUUUCACAGAGAAAAUAUGAAAGAUACCUUGAAAGCCUCUUUUUUUCUCUUGCUCUUUUUCCUAAUUUGCAUCUACUUUCCUACCUAGUUAUGAGAUGUCAGUAACUUCAAGAAGUGAGAACAGUAUCUGACAACAGCUUUUUGUUCUUUGCUGAGUUUGAGGGAUAGAACCUGUUUCACGUCGCCUGUGCUCGGCCCUGCUGUGGGACGCCAAAUGAGUUCAGAGAUUCACACUGUGCCUCCAUGGGUAACUCUCACCGUUACCUGGACUUCGUAUCUAGCUCAGAAAAAUAUGGAUCCAUAUGAACAGGAUUGUGUUAGAGCUGAUUUUCACUGGGAAAUGAAUUUAUUACUUAAUCAAUGUAGUGCACAAAAUGUGUCUGAUUUGGUGCUAUUUUUCUUUUUACUGAGAAAAAGAUCUAAAUGAUGUGGGUGUUUUUGUUUAAAGUUGAAAAGUUUGAAAUGUUUGUGUUGUAUUUUACUUUUAUUAUUCCUAUAAUCUUAAUAUAUUACAAAAAGUAAUUUAAUACUGGGUAUUGUAAUGUAGCAUUUAAAAAAAUGUUGCACAGAAAACUUUUCACAAUAUCUAAUUCUCAUCCCAAAUAAAGAUUCCAGCAAUUUUACAGUUCUCUGUUAGAAAAGAGCUAGCUGGAAAACGUUAUUCAAUUUCUCUGCUUUGCUACAGAGUAGAUCUCAAGAGCUUCACAGAGGACAUCACAUUUUCUCCCACUUUAUAAGCAGAGAAACUGAAGCGUAAUGAGUUUAAAGGGCCUUGUUUGGGCCCACUCUGCAGAGCAGAGACAAAAGUGAGAUGGGAGCUGAGGGGCUCUUAGCCCUGCUGCAGCACCCCUAAAUAGUGCUGCCCCUCAUGGGUAUAAGCUGUUAGGUAACGUGCAGAGCACAGUUAAUCAAUGGCACUGAGCCAGGAGAGAGAAGUUGAACUGUAGCAGCAGAAAGUAGUGAAAGUUAUUAAUGUUUGGGGUUUCUUUAGUGCUAAGACAUGAAUAAGCAACAAUUUGCAUGCAGCUGGUAAAUUGCUUUUGAUAAAAUUUUAGAUGUCUCAACUAUAUGAUCUAAAUGGAUGAACACCAUUAAUGCGUAUCUUAACCUUUAGGAAGCAGAAGUCCUUAGCCGUUCUUCCAGGAGUGUGCCCUAAAGUUAAAUGACCCCAGGUCCAUAUUGCUGACAGCUCUGCACUGCAGUCGUUGCUUAUUUUUAGCAAAAGGUGAUUAACUUCCCUUGUCUGAAUGAAAUAUUUCCACAGAAAACAAGGACCCUAAGGCUAAUAUUUUUACACAAGCAAGAAGAGAAAUACAUGCGACCCACGCAGGCAGCUUGCGACACAGAAACAGGGAAGAUGUGGCUCCUGGAAGGGACUGCAAACUGCCUGCGGCCAGCCGGCGGGGCGCCCCGUGGUCACGGUGCCUCGGGGCAAAUGGAGACCGUCACUCCGGUGCGAGGACGGCCGGCAGGCCGGGAGGAGGAGAGCAAUGCUGCCGGUGCCAGAGCGCGUCCCCGGGAAAAGGGUCUACAUGUGGCAGAUGCUGGACGCCACUGAAACGUGACCUGAAGUGGCUAACUACUCACCUCGGUUAUUCACCGCCGUUGCUGCCUGCGCAUCCUGUGGGGGAGCACGAGGCUAGACAUGUGGCUGCACAAGCUGAACAGCCAGCAGGUCUCAUUCCUCCUUUCUGCGACUUUCCAGCCUGAGAAAAGUGCUCAGUGGGGUGGAGCAGAAAACCCCUCUGGAGAAGGCAACCCACAGAACUGAACUUGCUCCGCCGAGGACACAUACAGGGAGGUCCUGUGCUGCAUCUCUACAAGGGACCAUGAAGGGUCCAGGGAAAGGAUUAAACUAACCGUAUUUCUUGGCACUCGCCCAAGCGAGUUCACAGACUGGAAAAAGUACCCUGGCCUAAGUAGCCUUCAGGGUUGGCUUCCCCCUGGCUUGGAGGACGUUGCAGCUGCGCUGCGUUGCUAGCGACACCUGGGCCAGCAUGGGGGUGUCUACUUGAGCUAAGCCAUUGUGUGAGAUGCAUCCCCAGCUUCAACAGCUUCCACGGGUUACUUUAGCAGCACAGCUGGCCAGCUGCAAGCCAACACAUUUCUAUGAAAAAUGCUGAAAAUCUGCUCCCUCAGUUCCUAUCCCCAGUGCACCCUUGCUUUGUCUGAGUUGGGCCUCUUUAACAAGCUGGCCCCUACCUGUGUGGUGUAACAGAGAUGAUGAUGAGCUGAAUAGCUCACCUAUAGCAUCUGCGUGCUGUGAUAAUGACCAGGACUGAGGAAAGAAAGCAUGAAAAAAUACGAAGGCGCUGUCUUUGGAAGGCAACAGAAAAUCACUACUUGUAUGGGUAAAAGCUGGGCUAAUGAAGCAGGAUAGCAAUACUGAAGUAACUACAGGUGGCUGGGGAAACCUCCUGCAGGAGACUUCAAAGUAGCUAAACUGCUUAUAUGAUGUGCUGUAAGUUGGCUUUCUGUCAUUAGAUACUCGUUAGAAGGGCUACAAGUAAAUAAGAAUGCUCAUUAUCAAAACACCUUGAGUAAAUUUGAUGUCCAGAGAUAUUUUAAGGGAAAAGAUGCUGGUGAAGCAUCAGGUACUCUUUUUCUGUUCUCUUUGAACCUAAUAUCCACAACAGGCAGGAAGCAUUAGAUGAAAACCAGGAUUUCUUCCUAGUAAAUUUUGAAUUAUCCAAUUUCCUUCUUUUAGCCUAGUUAUAUUGUACUAGAUGAUGUCCUUUUUUGCUUUAAAUUAUGGCUGAAAAGUUAUAUAAAAGAAAGAAUAGAAAGAGAAAAACAGAAGCUAAAGUACACGCCUUUGCAUUCUCUUUUGCAUGCAGAACGGGUGCAGCUAGAAGUGGCAUGUGGCUAGGUUGUGUCUCAGGGCUGCGUACAAGCGUACCUGUGCCUGAGCUUGCAUUUCCUCACAGCUGCUGGUAUACUAUGAGUUUGGGUUAUUUUCCAUGCAUACUUGCAUGUGCCUACUAAUGAAAAUCAAGCCAAAAAUCAUGUUUCUUCAGCUGGUUUUGCUUAAUUUAGCCAUUUCCGACCAUCUGAUCGCUUUGUGAAUUUUACCCUGCUCUACUUUUCCGAUUUCACCAGGCUCUAGCUUUCUCUGUCCUUUUCUCUGUAAAGCUUCCUGUUCAUCCAAAUAAAUUUUGUCUCCUGACAAUCUUCCUCUUUCUAUAGUAUUUUAGUUGUAGGUGCUAGAAGGUUUUUCUUACUGAGAACUUGAAAAGUAAAUGGAAUGUUUUUGCUCCUCUGUCUCCUUUACCUGUGGAGCACUGACCAACACAGCCUUUGGAUUCAUCUCCCAGAGAAGUUUUUUUCUAGAAAUGCUUGUUUGCAUAAGGUGCUGGAAGUGAGGAAGAGGAAUUGAAGCAGAAAAGACAGGAUGUGUAAGCAUAACACGGGACACCCCAAAAGCUGCCAUAAAAGUUACAACAGGGAGGGCAAGCUUUGGGAGGUUUGCCCUGUAAAUUGGGCCACUGUGACCCACCAGCAGGUGUGGCUGGUGUUUAUGGGAGCAGCAUAUUUUCUAUUGGGAGCACCAGUAGAAUGCAAAUGCGGAAAAAAUUGGCAGGAAGGGUAUGCUGGGGUCAAAGCCAAGAAAUCACAUCCGCCUUGGAGCUCUUAAAGCUGUGCGCUGUGGUCCAAGCAUCAGGAAGCGUCCCAGAGGGUCGGGCAGCCCUAGCAGCUCUGCAUUGCUUCAUUAGAUAGGCAGUCACUUGGCAACACUGUGUGUCCUGCUUGCGCAGCAGUAUGUUCCCUUCUUAGGUUUUGGGCAAAGUGAGGGUCAGGGAGGAAGGGAGGCAGCUUUUGAAGGGAGGGAGGGUUGUUACUUGCCCUGAGCUGUGACAGGUACUGAAAUCAGGUUGUGAAAGGUCACAGUGUAGCUUCCUGGAUAUGUCAUAGAAACAAGGCUGGCAAAGGGCUCAGGCACAGCAUCAAAAGACCUUGAACCCUUGUGCAAAUUUACCAGGGGAUGUGGAAAAGUAAACACAGAGGAGCCCAGUGAGCUCUGCAGUGGCCAGAGCUACCUCUGAAGAAGUGCUGUUCUUAACUAGAGUUGGUUGUGAAUUUUACAACCAAAUGCUUUUCACUAGAAAUUGCCUGCUCUGAUCAAACUCAGAAUUUUUCUCUGGGAUGUGUAUGUAUUGAACAAAUCUUUUUACUUUUUUCUUUUCCUUUUUCUUUUCUUGUUUUACCCUUUAUCUUUUAAGAGAGAGAGGGGAGUGCUCAUAAGGACAAAAAAGCCUAUUUGGCCAUAGUGGUCCUGCGUACAGCCAAUAGUGGGGUGAUUAGAGGCCUCCUCUGGGAUGAAGAAAGGGCCCAAGUCCGAGCGCACAGUCUGCCAGCACCAGUCCAAAGGAACAAUGCUCACUCUUUUUUUUCCUGGGCAUUUUUCUCUGUUGGGGAGUGAUAAGGAAUGUCUUUUACAGGGUUUUCUGUGAAAGCUCCUAUGCUUGGUACAGAAAAUAGUUGAUUUUAGGGAAAUGAUUGUUUCAAUUUUUACUAAUAAUUCCCCUCACAUUGGGCCAGAUAGAAUAAAUGGCUGACUUGAUAGCCCAGCGAAAAAGGCAAUCAAUACUGAAUGCUUCAACCAUUAGGCUCUUGGCUGGUUGGGAAUUUUUUGGUUUUUGCAAAGUACUUCAAAAGGUCUUGGGCUCUUUCCAGCUCAGGAUAGGGAAGACUGAAAUUUUGGAAUUUCGUGAGAUGAGGAAACUAUUUUCCACCAGACAUUAUUUCUCAGAAAAUGUGUCAGGAAACAGCCAAGGAAGCUGGAAGAACAGCUAAGCCUUCAUGUGUCAAGCUUAUUUUUAAUGGGGUCAAGGAAUGGUUGGGUUUAGUUCCCAUCGGGGUUUUAAUGCUAUGUCUACCUUACUGUGUGAGCUUCACAGAGAAUUCCCUGAAGCAUUUUCAGGCAGAAACUGUGAUUCCAAAAACCGAGCUGAAAGAUACUUCUCUUUGAGACUGGAUUGGGAAACUUUGAUACCUGGAGCUUGGAACUGGAGGAGAUUUACAGCCUGGCUGUCUAUAUCUGUGUCUGAGAUUUCACAGAACCACAGAAUAAUUGAGGUUGAAAGGGGCCUUUGGAGAUCAUCUAGUCCAACCACACCGCUCAAGCAGGUCACCUAGAGCAGGCUGCCCAGGACCCUGUCUAGAUGGUUUUGAAUACCUCCAAGGAUGGAGAAUCCACAGCCUUUCUGGACAAUCUCUCCCAGUGCUUGAACCACCCUUGUAAUAAAAAGC